This 306-nucleotide unclassified non-coding RNA is filed under the name Hevea brasiliensis (rubber tree). Lineage: Eukaryota; Viridiplantae; Streptophyta; Magnoliopsida; Malpighiales; Euphorbiaceae. The record is from RNAcentral.
GUCUCAUCUUACGGACAUGUGGAAUCCAAAAAUUAGGGUCACUAUAGUUUUCACAUUUCGUUGUCCAGAAUGCUUUAUAUCCUUCGCGAUCUACUGAGGCCUCUUCUGAAAGUGACAAUUCACUGCCUAUCCUAUCAGCCAUACCCUUAAUCAUGGAUACCAGACCAUCCAAUGCAACAAUAUGCAUCGCAGACAAAGGUCCAUUCACUGGAAAUGCACUUUUUGAUAACAGGUUAGCAAGGUCUUCAAACACAUUACUGCAGGUUAUGUCACAAUCAAAAUUAGCAUACAUUUCAGCCAUGAAAG